This 496-nucleotide ribosomal RNA is filed under the name uncultured bacterium. RNAcentral describes it as "partial 16S ribosomal RNA". It matches the Rfam family "Bacterial small subunit ribosomal RNA", at positions 28 to 506 of the family's 1533-position model. The record is from RNAcentral.
GAUGAACGCUGGCGGCGUGCCUAAUACAUGCAAGUCGAGCGAACAGACGAGGAACUUGCUCCUCUGACGUUAGCGGCGGACGGGUGAGUAACACGUGGAUAACCUACCUAUAAGACUGGGAUAACUUCGGGAAACCGGAGCUAAUACCGGAUAAUAUAUUGAACCGCAUGGUUCAAUAGUGAAAGACGGUUUUGCUGUCACUUAUAGAUGGAUCCGCGCCGCAUUAGCUAGUUGGUAAGGUAACGGCUUACCAAGGCAACGAUGCGUAGCCGACCUGAGAGGGUGAUCGGCCACACAGGAACUGAGACACGGUCCAGACUCCUACGGGAGGCAGCAGUAGGAAAUCUUCCGCAAUGGGCGAAAGCCUGACGGAGCAACGCCGCGUGAGUGAUGAAGGUCUUCGGAUCGUAAAACUCUGUUAUUAGGGAAGAACAAAUGUGUAAGUAACUAUGCACGUCUUGACGGUACCUAAUCAGAAAGCCACGGCUAACUACGU